Molecule: non-coding RNA, 29 nt
Filed under: Rattus norvegicus (Norway rat)
Lineage: Eukaryota; Metazoa; Chordata; Mammalia; Rodentia; Muridae
Source: RNAcentral
UAACCUCAAACAAUGAGCCAAAAACGUGA